GACGAACGCUGGCGGCGUGCUUAACACAUGCAAGUCGAACGGAAAGGCCCCCUUGUUGGGUACUCGAGUGGCGAACGGGUGAGUAACACGUGAGUAACCUACCCUUGACUUUGGGAUAACUUCAGGAAACUGGGGCUAAUACCGGAUAGGAGCUCCUGCUGCAUGGUGGGGGUUGGAAAGUUUCGGCGGUUGGGGAUGGACUCGCGGCUUAUCAGCUAGUUGGGGGGGUAGUGGCUUACCAAGGCUGUGACGGGUAGCCGGCGUGAGAGGGUGACCGGCCCCAGGGGGACGGGGACAGGGCCCAGAGGCCUACGGGAGGGAGCAGUAGGGAAUGUGCCACAAGGGACGGAAGUCUGACGGAGCAACGUCGCGGGAGUGACGAAGGCUCUCGGAUCGGAAAACGGGGUUGGUAGGGAAGAACAAGUGCUAGAGGAACUGGUAGCGCCGUGACGGUAAUUAAUCAGAAAGCCACGGCUAACUACGUG
This 485-nucleotide ribosomal RNA is filed under the name uncultured bacterium. RNAcentral describes it as "partial 16S ribosomal RNA". It matches the Rfam family "Bacterial small subunit ribosomal RNA", at positions 28 to 507 of the family's 1533-position model. The record is from RNAcentral.